AAAAUACUACUAAAAUUCUCUAAAAUUGCAUUCUUUCUUUAAGUUUGAUAUUGAUACUUUAUCUUUAUUUUAUAACAUGUUAUCAGUACGAGACUCUACCGUCUCUUUUAUAAGAUGUUAUCAGUACGAGACUCUAUCGUCUCCAGUUUAAAGGCUAAGAAAAGAAAAUUGAAUCGGAAGGUGGAGAAGGCAAGACCGCAAGAAUUAGGCGAUCAUCACGAUUUAAAUUUCACUUUUCUACUAUUUAUUAUAAGAUAAGUAUAUUAUUAACUCAUAUUCCUUAAGUUUGAAAAGAAUAUUGAUCACAAAGUGGUGACCUUGUUGUAUGCUCAAAUUUGAGUUUAUUAUACUUUGACCCAAUACGUUAUUGGCCAAGGGUGUAUGAUGAUGAAUUUAAGUCUCAUGUCAUUAAAAAGGUAAAAUAUCAGGUAAGAGUCCCGGUACAACAUAAUGAUAAGAUAUUGAUCUCAAGUCUCAUCGAUC
RNAcentral lists this long non-coding RNA (483 nucleotides) under Capsicum annuum. RNAcentral's name for it is "long non-coding RNA (CANN_LNC022540)". Lineage: Eukaryota; Viridiplantae; Streptophyta; Magnoliopsida; Solanales; Solanaceae. The record is from RNAcentral.